UACGUAUGGUGCAAGCGUUAUCCGGAUUUACUGGGUGUAAAGGGAGCGUAGGCGGCGCGUUAAGUCUGAUGUGUAAACCCGAGGCUCAACCACGGGAGUGCAUUGGAAACUGGCGUGCUGGAGUGCCGGAGAGGUAAGCGGAAUUCCUAGUGUAGCGGUGAAAUGCGUAGAUAUUAGGAGGAACACCAGUGGCGAAGGCGGCCUACUGGACGGCAACUGACGCUGAGGCUCGAAAGCGUGGGGAGCAAACAGG
RNAcentral lists this ribosomal RNA (253 nucleotides) under uncultured bacterium. RNAcentral's name for it is "partial 16S ribosomal RNA". It matches the Rfam family "Bacterial small subunit ribosomal RNA", at positions 524 to 776 of the family's 1533-position model. The record is from RNAcentral.